This 791-nucleotide ribosomal RNA is filed under the name uncultured bacterium. RNAcentral describes it as "bacterial SSU rRNA". It matches the Rfam family "Bacterial small subunit ribosomal RNA", at positions 8 to 812 of the family's 1533-position model. The record is from RNAcentral.
AGAGUUUGAUCCUGGCUCAGGACGAACGUUGGCGGCGCGCCUAACACAUGCAAGUCGAACGGAGCUUAGAGAGCUUGCUUUUUAAGCUUAGUGGCGAACGGGUGAGUAACGCGUGAGUAACCUGCCCUAGAGUGGGGGACAACAGUUGGAAACGACUGCUAAUACCGCAUAAGCCCACGGUACCGCAUGGUACUGAGGGAAAAGGAUUUAUUCGCUUUAGGAUGGACUCGCGUCCAAUUAGCUAGUUGGUGAGGUAACGGCCCACCAAGGCGACGAUUGGUAGCCGGACUGAGAGGUUGAACGGCCACAUUGGGACUGAGACACGGCCCAGACUCCUACGGGAGGCAGCAGUGGGGGAUAUUGCACAAUGGGGGAAACCCUGAUGCAGCGACGCCGCGUGGAGGAAGAAGGUUUUCGGAUUGUAAACUCCUGUCGUUAGGGACGAUAAUGACGGUACCUAACAAGAAAGCACCGGCUAACUACGUGCCAGCAGCCGCGGUAAAACGUAGGGUGCAAGCGUUGUCCGGAAUUACUGGGUGUAAAGGGAGCGCAGGCGGGAAGACAAGUUGGAAGUGAAAACCAUGGGCUCAACCCAUGAAUUGCUUUCAAAACUGUUUUUCUUGAGUAGUGCAGAGGUAGAUGGAAUUCCCGGUGUAGCGGUGGAAUGCGUAGAUAUCGGGAGGAACACCAGUGGCGAAGGCGGUCUACUGGGCACCAACUGACGCUGAGGCUCGAAAGCAUGGGUAGCAAACAGGAUUAGAUACCCUGGUAGUCCAUGCCGUAAACGAUGA